This 258-nucleotide ribosomal RNA is filed under the name uncultured Glomus. RNAcentral's name for it is "partial 18S ribosomal RNA". It matches the Rfam family "Eukaryotic small subunit ribosomal RNA", at positions 624 to 886 of the family's 1831-position model. The record is from RNAcentral. Lineage: Eukaryota; Fungi; Glomeromycota; Glomeromycetes; Glomerales; Glomeraceae.
AAGCUCGUAGUUGAAUUUCGGGAUCGGUAUGUCGGUCGUGCCUUCGGUACGUACUGGUAUCAUCGAUUUCUCCCUUCUGACGAGCCAUGAUGUCAUUAAUUUGGUGUCGUGGGGAGUUAGGACUGUUACUUUGAAAAAAUUAGAGUGUUUAAAGCAGGCUUUCGCUUGAAUACAUUAGCAUGGAAUAAUGAAAUAGGACGUUCGAACCUAUUUUGUUGGUUUCUAGGAUCAACGUAAUGAUUAAUAGGGAUAGUUGGG